ACGAACGCUGGCGGCGUGCUUAACACAUGCAAGUCGAACGGAAAGGCCCUGCUUUUGUGGGGUGCUCGAGUGGCGAACGGGGGAGUAACACGUGAGUAACCUGCCCUUGACUUUGGGAUAACUUCAGGAAACUGGGGCUAAUACCGGAUAGGAGCUCCUGCUGCCUGGUGGGGGUUGGAAAGUUUCGGCGGUUGGGGAUGGACUCGCGGCUUAUCAGCUUGUUGGUGGGGUAGUGGCUUACCAAGGCUUUGACGGGUAGCCGGCCUGGGAGGGUGACCGGCCACAUUGGGACUGAGAUACGGCCCAGACUCCUACGGGAGGCAGCAGUGGGGAAUAUUGCACAAUGGGCGGAAGCCUGAUGCAGCAACGCCGCGUGCGGGAUGACGGCCUUCGGGUUGUAAACCGCUUUCGCCUGUGACGAAGCGUGAGUGACGGUAAUGGGUAAAGAAGCACCGGCUAACUACGUG
RNAcentral lists this ribosomal RNA (467 nucleotides) under uncultured bacterium. RNAcentral describes it as "partial 16S ribosomal RNA". It matches the Rfam family "Bacterial small subunit ribosomal RNA", at positions 29 to 507 of the family's 1533-position model. The record is from RNAcentral.